GUACCUACAGAAGAAGUCCCGGCUAACUUCGUGCCAGCAGCCGCGGUAAUACGAAGGGGGCUAGCGUUACUCGGAAUUAUUGGGCGUAAAGCGUGCGUAGGCUGCUUAGUAAGUCAAAAGUGAAAGCCUUGGGCUCAACCUAAGAAUUGCUUUUGAAACUACUAAGCUUGAGUACUGUAGGGGGUAGCGGAAUUCCUAGUGUAGGGGUGAAAUUCGUAGAUAUUAGGAGGAACACCGGAGGCGAAAGCGGUUAUCUGGACAGUCACUGACGCUGUUGCACGAAAGCGUGGGGAGCAAACAGGAUUAGAUACCCUGGUAGUCCACGCUGUAAACGAUGAGUGCU
This 343-nucleotide ribosomal RNA is filed under the name Candidatus Midichloria mitochondrii. Its description in RNAcentral is "bacterial SSU rRNA". It matches the Rfam family "Bacterial small subunit ribosomal RNA", at positions 475 to 817 of the family's 1533-position model. Lineage: Bacteria; Pseudomonadati; Pseudomonadota; Alphaproteobacteria; Rickettsiales; Candidatus Midichloriaceae. The record is from RNAcentral.